UCGAUAAUGACAAAAUUUUAUGGAAAAGUUAUAAGGAGCUAAAGCGUCAGAAACGUCAGAAUAGAAAUAAAUUAGAAGGGAAAUAAAACUAUAACUAUUGUAAUCAUGUCUAAGAUUUCUAUAAGCGUCAUUAAGUACAAACUAUCAAUAUUUAAGAGUACUUUAAAUCAUCAUUACAUUUUUUAAACAUUUUUUGUUUUUUUUUUUCAAAUUAUGUAACAAAACGUUUUGUGCAGAACAAAAUGUCACAUAUUAUGAACAAUUGUGGGUUAAUUGUUUCAUAAAUGUGUAAAUAUUUAUAAGAAUGCUAAGAAUAAUUUAGUAUUCACUUUAGUGUGUGUGUUAUCUCUACAAUGCUAGUUUAAAUGACAAUUAUUGUAUGACGAAGCAUAGGUAGUGUUUAUAGAUGUAAGAUUUUCGUACAAGGUCAUGAUCUGUCACGAUCAACUUUAAGCAAGAACUGCUAUCAUUGUGAAACAAAUUUAUUACAUUUAAUUCAAAUUGUCUACUAUGUUUGUAAUGGAAAGCUGACAUGUUUAUAUUUCGCACGAAUGACUUAAUUGAGAUGGAAUGAUUUUAUUAUCUAGACUUAUUUAACUUUUAGAUAACUUUCGAUUUAAUGUUAUUAAGUACUCUAGUAGGAUUAAUCUAGAGGAGUGAUUGUUAUUCGAAAUUUUAUACAAUUGUACGUUCAUACUAUCUUUUAACAGUAAAUUGUUUGUAAUAUAGGGAAAUUAAAUAGCUUACAGAGAAUUACAGCUUUUUAUUUUAAAAAACUGUUUUCUCUCUGUAUCUUAUCGAUUAGAAUGCUGGACACAAUCAAACGUUCUUUAAUAUUUCAUAAGUACUACGGGGAAUUUCAGCGAUUCUAAACGAUAAGAUUUUUUCAUAAAGAGAGUUAAUUAUAAAAAAUAUUAAAAUUACUAAAAAAGCCACCUGGCGGGGGGUAGGGAGACUAAUAAUCGACAGCAGCGACGCCUGCUGACCUGGGCUCUAACUAAAGCAAAAAUAAAAAUGAGAGUUGCGCAUCUAUCUCAAAUAUAUUAAGUGUAUAAUCUAUGGUGUGAAUCAGUGUGAAAUACGAGUUCAGCGCGGUUGCACGUGUUCGAAGAUUUAAAAAAAUUAAAGUGUAGUGGAUUUGUUGUAUUGUUAAUAAUGGAAUCGUGAGUAUUAAUUCAUUAUAUUUUACUAACAUGAAGUAAAUGUUAUUUGCAUUUUAUGACAAAAAAACGUCUUUGAAGUAACGGCCUCGUCAUUUUUUUAACCUAACGGUCAUCUUUAGUUGGUCGUUUUUAAUAGAAAAAUUAAUAAAAUCCAAACGAUUUUUUGUAAUGAGAUCAAUAUUUUAAUGAACUUAAUUAAAAGUAUUACAAAGGACGUGUAUUUUAGUCGCAAAUGUAAAAAUUUCGACUUCAAAGAUGUGAACACACUUUUUUUUAUUGCUUAGAUGGGUGGACGAGCUCACAGCCCACGUGGUGUUAAGUGAUUACUGAAACCCAUGGACAUCUACAACGUAAAUGCGCCACCCACCUUGAGAUAUAAGUUCUAAGAUCUCAGUAUAGUUACAUAGGCUGCCCCACCCUUCAAACCGAAACGCAUUACUGCUUCACGGCAGAAAUAGGCAGGGCGGUGGUACCUACCCGCGCGGACUCACAAGAGGUCCUACCACCACUUAUAGUGAACGGUCUGUAAGUCGUGACAUCGCAACGAUACUGCGCAACAUAUAUCCUGCAGCGCUAUCACGUACUUCGCAGACAAUUAGCAGAAGACAAAUACCUAUUGUGCAAAUAUUGCUGUCAACUGUCAAUUUCGUAUUACGGACUUACAACAAAUCAGCAGAUCCCGGAUCAUUACUAUUGCUGCCUCUGCAGAGCGUUUUGUGAAACUUUAGUGCAUUCUUUUCCAUACGACUACCAACAAUUAAUUGACAUACAGUCGGUAUUACGGAUGCUCUUGUCUGCCACACAACAGCAGAUAUUUAGCAAUUUCGUUUGUUAAAUUUGCGACACCUUUUGUAUCUAAAUUGUGCUAAAUUGUUGCAAACUAUCUGCAAGUGUAACAUUUGGGAAAUUAAAUAAUUUUAACUUGAUUUAUAAUAGGUAAGUGUAAUUGGUUCAGAUCUUUAUUCGUGUUUGUGUUUUCUAUAAUAUUAACAUUAAACACCACGCUGGGCCAUUUAAGUACAUUAAUAAUGUUGAGGUUAUAAAGUUUAUUUGUUACAAAUUAAUAUUUAUUCUAGAUAUAUGACUAUGGACAGAGCUCUAAUGAUAAAUGGGGCUUUGGAGGCUAAGGAAAUUGAGUCGGAUACACUCGAAUCAGUGCGUUUGCGACGCUGUCUUCGUAAUCAAUCUAGCCCCCUUAAUCUAUCGGAAAGUCUGUUCAGAACACAUUAUAGAAUUUCAAAACAUCUAUAUUUGCAAUUGUGCUCUGAAUUAAAGCCGUUAAUAAUCUAGAUCACCAAGACGAACAAGAAUAGAAUAUAGUAGAAUGCAAGAUGUUAACAGCAUUGCAAAAUUUCAUACCAGAAACCUGUGGGAAUGAGCUUUUUGCAUUUUGAGUCAAACUGCAGUAAAUUCAAUCCCAUUAGGGAAGUGACUAUGGCAUUAAACAACCGUCCAAUUUUAUUGAAACAUUUAAAGUUUCUGCCAACAGUACAAUGGGUCACAAGUUAUUAUAAAUGGGUAAGUUAAAUAAUUAUCUUAUUAUUACAGCACAAGAGUUCCACUGAUUUCACAAUUUCCACGACUCAAUCAUAUAGAUCAGUUAUAUUCUUGAAGCUUUAUAAUUAAACAGAGUUCUGAUAAAUGUCAAGCCCUGGUGAAACUGGAAAGGCCUUCAGGCCUUCAAUUUUUUUUAAGAUUUAUUUAUUUAUAUUUAUAGUACAUAGAUAUUUGAAUGAUAAUAAUUUCGUGUGCAGUGGCAUUGUGAUUGAAAAAAUAAUAUAAUAGUAAAAAAAAAUUUUUCAUUAUAGGUUUUACAAUAAAUUUUGCUUUCCUGGGGUUUCGGAGUGUAUAGAUGGCACUCAUGUUGCACUUGUCAGAUCUUCUGAAUAUGAAGAAAGGUUUUAGAACCGCAAGCAUUAUCAUUCCAAGAAUGUGCAAAAUAGUAAGUGUUUUGCUCAAGCCUAUCAUUCACAAUAACAUACAUUUGAUAGUACUUAUCUGAAGAAUUAAAUUUUUCAGAUUUGUGAUAGUGAUCUUAACAUUUUAAGUAUUGAUGCAACAUUUCAUGAUACAUUUGUCUGGUUUAACACUGAACUGAAUAUGCCUAUGCAGGAUCUGCACGAUAAUGGUGAAAAUGGUUUUUAGGCAAGUAAAACAUCAUGAGCUCUUCUCAGUAACCCGACUACAAAAUAAUACUCAAUCUAAAAGUCUAAUGCCCUAAAUGCCCUAAAGGAUAAUGCUAAAGAUAAUAUUGUAGCAGGUUUCAAAAAAACAGGAAUAAAUCCAUUCGACCCCACACAGAUACUGAAACGAUUACCUGGAUAUGAAAGAGUUAGCCACCAAUCAGAAACUAUCAAUGAAUCUGUUUCAACAAUACUAAAAGACAUGCGUCAUAGAACAAUGAAUGUCGUUGAACCUAAAAGAAAAAGGAAAAUAGUAGUCGAACCUAGAAAAAAGGUCAGUCUUGAAGAAACUUAUGCUGAAACAAAAGAGAAGAAUAAAGAACGCAAGAAAAAGAAAAGUAAACUACAAGUUCCUAAAAACAAAGAAGGAAUUAAUGACAACAAGCAAAAAGGACCAAUAACAAAAAAAGGAAAGGGUAUAGGGAAAAAAACAAAGCCACCAUACUGCCUGAUUAAACUGAUAAAGCUAACAUUUUCAAUAACUAUUUUGCUAUAGUAACCAUACCAAUUAUUUUUGGAGAUGAUAUUUUGACAAGUCAUUAUGAAACAAUUGACAAGUAUAAUGUUUCAGAUGUCAUAGUUUCAACUAAUGAAACCAAUAACAAAAUUCAAGUUCUAUCUGAUAUUACGGUUGCAGUUUCUAAACACAAAAAUUCUCAUAUAAUAAUGAUAAUAAUAAUAAUAUCAAGUUUAUUUUGCCCCAUACUAAACUACAAAUCUUAGAAAAGUCUAGAACUGUUAAUAAAGGGAUUAAGAAAAAAGUAAAAGUACCAUUAAUCAAGACAAUCAAGAUGGAAAAGCCACGAAGCAAAUAUAAAGAUUUCGAUGACAUCUUGCUAGAAAUUGCGGUAUACAAAAAUAUAUUAUCGUCAUACGAAACAGAAAAACAAUUUGGUAUACCUCGCCGCAUGAUUUUAAAUAAGGUCAAACAAAGACACAAAAAGAGUUGGAUGUCCUACCACAAACCGCCACUAGCUGAUGAAAAGAAAAUUACAAGCUGUUUGAUUCUAUGUGGAGAAUAUGAGUAUUCCUUUACCUGGUUUGAACUAAGGUCAAUAGUACACGACUAUUUAGUUAAAAACGGACUCACCUUUUAUAUCUUUUUAAUAACAAAAUGCACGAUACCAAAAGUGGGUAAGGAGCUUUUUGAAACGCAACAAAUAUAUUCUGAGUGUGCCGUUUACAGGAUAUAGAUCUAUAAAGGAAUCUCGGGCCAAAGAAUUUUUAUUUUGAAUUUUUUGAGAACCUUAAAAUUUCUGUUCAUAAUGUUAAAUCAGAUCAUAUAGUGAACUAUGACGAGACAAUUUUUUCCGACAACCCAGGAUCCCAAAAAUGCAUAUUUAAAGCAGGCGCUAAACAUCCAAAAAACGAAAACUGCAAUAUCAGUCAUGUUUUCGGCUACAAUCAGUGGAGUAAUAUUCCCGCCGUAUGUGGUAUAUAAAGCUGAUAAUUUAUGAACAAAUUGGUGUACCUAAAGGAACCAGAUAUAUCAAAACCAAAUCUGGCUGAUUUGAUUCGAAAACGUUCGAAGAUUGGUUUAAUACCAUAAUUAUUCCAUGGGCAGAGAAAACUAUAGAUCUUAAGGUCUUGAUCGGAGACAAUUUAUAGAGAUAUAUAUUUUUUUUACACAUUACAUAUGGAAAAUAAUAUAAGAUUUAUUUUCCUGCCCCCCAAUUCAACAUAUCAUACUAAACCUCUCGAUGUGGUCUUAUUCGGCCCAUUAAAGAGAGAAUGGAAAAGAAUUUUAAUGGACUACCUAGUUCGACACCCAAGCGCAAAUAAUAUCUUAAAUAAACAAAUAUUCUCCGAAUCACUGAAGAUAUUAACUGGUUGCCUCGAAACUUAGACAAAGUAAAAAUUUGUGGAUUUCGUGUUGCUGGGAUAUUGCCGUGGCGUGCAACCUCUUUGAUAGGAGACCUACAACGACUAGACACAGACUAAGACAGACACUUGACAAGAAUUAAAAAAUAAAGAGAGAAAUGGAAAGAGGGCCUACGUGACUAGCGGCAGGCGGUACUUUUUUUGACUUCCUAAAAGACGGACACGAACCAGACGACGAGGAACGAAUUGACCGUUCUCAUAUGUAUAUAAAAUAGACGACAAAAGAACUAACCGACCGUUCAGAUUCUGGAUUAAUGGGAUGUAUUAAUCCAGAAGCUGUAUUAAAGAAAUUGCCAGAUUAUCGUAGGUCUCAAACCGUGACUUAUGACGAGACAUUUGUCAACAAUUUACAGGAUUUGAGAACUCCGGCUACCCAUAAAAAAGGAACUACAAAAAAAAAACUAAAAACAGAAUCUGGAAAAUUUGUAAGUGUUAAUGAUUUGAAUGAAGAAGAUCACUUUUCAUCGGUAAGUUUUUUUAUUUAAACAUUAUUUUUUUAUUAAAACACGAUUUUUAUUAUUCGAUAAUUAUUAGUAGUUUAGACUGAUUAGCCGAUGUUGCCAGUUUAUUACUAGGGAAUUUGCCGAAAUUAUGGGAUACAAAUUACAAAUAUAAUUUCAUCUUUAUAAAAUUUUGAAUAGAACUUGUUAUGUUUAUUUAAAAAGAUGACAGUACAUAUUUACUUAAACUGAAAAUGAUAACUUAUUUACAUUCAUAAACGAAACGAAAUAUUUUGGGUUUCAAAUUUCCUACAUAUUCCGCACUAGCAAAUCGCUGGAGAGAAAUUAUACUGCGGACACGAAAUAAUGACCAGUGGACAAGACUUCAGUCGCUAAUAGUAGAUUGAAAUCAUUUUGUUAGAAGUUUUGGUUAAUUCAGUGAAAUAUAAUUAGGCCAGUUCAGUAAUUUAUUUCCUUUUAUUAACUACCUCACUUCUGGUCGAUAAUAGUAUUAUUAUCAUCAUCAUCAUUUCAUUUUUUGUUAUCACUAAUUUAAACAUUUAUGUACGUACUGAAACACUGUUACAUUGUUUUCCUGCGAGUUACAGUGCCGAGUAAGAACGAGAUAGAUAUAUGUUUAUGUGUGUGCCUUCAAAAUGGAUGCUAUUUGUAUAAGCAAUGGUACGUAUAGAACAAUAUGUCGCGUCCCUACCUUAAAGGUCUAUGGUUCAUAAUCAAAGCUUUCACAUUAGUAAUACCCUGUCAUUUACUAAUUGUGUCGUUAGGGAUCCUAAGUAUGUUUACCAAUAAGGUUCAUAGUCUAAAUGAUUCAUUUACUAAUUGUUUAGUAAAUACUAUUUGUGUAUAAAUUCUCUUCCUCCUUAAAACUUAAAGAGUUCGACAUCAACCUUCAAGCUUAUAACAUUCUAACUCUGUCCGUGUAACAUCAGAUUUUUGUACAGGAUAAAUAAAUUCAGUGUGUAUUAAAAUAAA
Long non-coding RNA from Bombyx mori (domestic silkworm), 6660 nucleotides. RefSeq lists it as uncharacterized. Lineage: Eukaryota; Metazoa; Arthropoda; Insecta; Lepidoptera; Bombycidae. The transcript is spliced from 2 exons. The record is from RefSeq and is a predicted model, not a curated record.